This 727-nucleotide ribosomal RNA is filed under the name uncultured bacterium. RNAcentral's name for it is "bacterial SSU rRNA". It matches the Rfam family "Bacterial small subunit ribosomal RNA", at positions 139 to 882 of the family's 1533-position model. The record is from RNAcentral.
GGGGACAACAGUUGGAAACGACUGCUAAUACCGCAUGAUGCAUAGGGGUCGCAUGAUUCUUAUGCCAAAGAUUUAUCGCUUCAAGAUGGCCUCGCGUCUGAUUAGCUAGUUGGCGGGGUAACGGCCCACCAAGGCGACGAUCAGUAGCCGGACUGAGAGGUUGAACGGCCACAUUGGGACUGAGAUACGGCCCAGACUCCUACGGGAGGCAGCAGUGGGGAAUAUUGGGCAAUGGGCGCAAGCCUGACCCAGCAACGCCGCGUGAAGGAAGAAGGCUUUCGGGUUGUAAACUUCUUUUAAGAGGGAAGAGCAGAAGACGGUACCUCUAGAAUAAGCCACGGCUAACUACGUGCCAGCAGCCGCGGUAAUACGUAGGUGGCAAGCGUUGUCCGGAUUUACUGGGUGUAAAGGGCGUGCAGCCGGGUCUGCAAGUCAGAUGUGAAAUCCAUGGGCUCAACCCAUGAACUGCAUUUGAAACUGUAGAUCUUGAGUGUCGGAGGGGCAAUCGGAAUUCCUAGUGUAGCGGUGAAAUGCGUAGAUAUUAGGAGGAACACCAGUGGCGAAGGCGGAUUGCUGGACGAUAACUGACGGUGAGGCGCGAAAGUGUGGGGAGCAAACAGGAUUAGAUACCCUGGUAGUCCACACUGUAAACGAUGAAUACUAGGUGUGCGGGGACUGACCCCCUGCGUGCCGCAGUAAACACAAUAAGUAUUCCACCUGGGGAGUA